This 477-nucleotide ribosomal RNA is filed under the name Poseidonemertidae sp. DK-2015. Its description in RNAcentral is "partial 16S ribosomal RNA". It matches the Rfam family "Bacterial large subunit ribosomal RNA", at positions 1838 to 2624 of the family's 2925-position model. The record is from RNAcentral. Lineage: Eukaryota; Metazoa; Nemertea; Enopla; Monostilifera; Poseidonemertidae.
GCGUNCUCGACANNUAUUUUCUGCUCAGUGAUUUUAAACAGGCGCGGUAAUUUGACCGUGCAAAGGUAGCAUAAUCAUUUGCCCUAUAAUUGAGGGCUGGUAUGAAUGGAGUUUCAAGAUGUUUACUUUAUUUUAAGAAGUUUUAUAAUUUUCUUUUUUAGUUAAGAAGCUAAAAUUUUUUUGGGGGACAAGAAGACCCUUUUGAGCUUUAUUUUUGAACUAAUAUUUUUAUUUCUUUAAUUUGGUUGGGGCGACCAAGGAAGAUAAAGAUCUUCCUUUAUUAAUUUUGAUCCGUGGUUUUCGAUUAAGAGAAUGAGUUACCAAAGGGAUAACAGUGUAAUUUCUUUUGUGAGUUCUUAUUAAAAAAGAAGAUUGCUACCUCGAUGUUGACUUAUGGGAACCUAAUGGUGUAGUAGUUAUUUAGGUUGGUCUGUUCGACCUUUAAUUCCUUACGUGAUCUGGUUCAAGAACCCGGAA